Molecule: ribosomal RNA, 208 nt
Filed under: uncultured bacterium
Lineage: Bacteria
Description: partial 16S ribosomal RNA
Rfam family: Bacterial small subunit ribosomal RNA
Source: RNAcentral
UGCGUAGGUGGGCAGGUAAGUCAGUGGUGAAAUCUCCGGGCUUAACUCGGAAACUGCCAUUGAUACUAUCUGUCUUGAAUACCGUGGAGGUCAGCGGAAUAUGUCAUGUAGCGGUGAAAUGCUUAGAUAUGACAUAGAACACCAAUUGCGAAGGCAGCUGGCUACACGAAUAUUGACACUGAUGCACGAAAAGCGUGGGGAUCAAACA